AUGGCCUCCCUCACCGUCUCGCAGACGACACCGGCGGCCGGCAACGCCAACAAGCAGCGCGAGGGCGCGGAGAUCAUCACCGGCGCUGAGGCGUGCUACGAGCACUCCAAGGAGCUCCUCAAGGGGCUGGGGUUCCCGGGCGGGGUGAUGCCGCUGCGCGGGCUGGAAGAGUGCGGGCUGGUGCGGGAGACCGGGUACGUGUGGAUGCGGCAGGGAAAGCCCUACGAGCACCACUUCCGCGCCACGGGCACCCGGGUGCGCUACGACGCCGAGGUGACGGCGUACGUGGAGGAAGGGCGGAUGAAGCGGAUGACCGGGGUCCGGAGCAAGCAGAUGAUGCUCUGGGUGCCCAUCGUGGAGAUGAGCCUCGACGGCGCCGACAAGGUCUACUUCAAGUCCAACGUCGGCAUCGGCCGCUCCUUCCCCGCCGCCGCCUUCGCCGACGAGGACGCCGCUGCUGACGACGCGCCGGCGCCGGCCGGCGCCACCGAGGCCAACGACAAGCAUUGA
This 510-nucleotide ribosomal RNA is filed under the name Triticum aestivum (bread wheat). RNAcentral describes it as "partial small subunit ribosomal RNA". The record is from RNAcentral. Lineage: Eukaryota; Viridiplantae; Streptophyta; Magnoliopsida; Poales; Poaceae.